GGUCAGGAUGAACGCUAGCGGCAGGCUUAACACAUGCAAGUCGAGGGGCAUCGGGAGUAGCAAUACUUGCCGGCGACCGGCGCAAGGGUGCGUAACGCGUGAGCAACAUGCCCGUAUCAGGGGGAUAAUCCAUGGAAACGUGGUCUAAUACCCCAUAGUAAUUAUGUAAGGCAUCUUAUAUAAUUUAAAGCUUUGGUGGAUACGGAUUGGCUCGCGUGACAUUAGCUGGAUGGUAAGGUAACGGCUUACCAUGGCUACGAUGUCUAGGGGUUCUGAGAGGAAGGUCCCCCACACUGGAACUGAGACACGGUCCAGACUCCUACGGGAGGCAGCAGUGAGGAAUAUUGGACAAUGGAUGGAAAUCUGAUCCAGCCAUGCCGCGUGCAAGGAAGACGGCCCUAUGGGUUGUAAACUGCUUUUGUAUGGGAGCAAUAAGGGCUACGUGUAGUCCGAUGAGAGUACCAUACGAAUAAGCACCGGCUAACUCCGUGCCAGCAGCGGC
RNAcentral lists this ribosomal RNA (502 nucleotides) under uncultured bacterium. Its description in RNAcentral is "bacterial SSU rRNA". It matches the Rfam family "Bacterial small subunit ribosomal RNA", at positions 22 to 518 of the family's 1533-position model. The record is from RNAcentral.